This 516-nucleotide ribosomal RNA is filed under the name Phyllodactylus nocticolus. Its description in RNAcentral is "partial 12S ribosomal RNA". It matches the Rfam family "Bacterial small subunit ribosomal RNA", at positions 794 to 1527 of the family's 1533-position model. Lineage: Eukaryota; Metazoa; Chordata; Lepidosauria; Squamata; Phyllodactylidae. The record is from RNAcentral.
ACCUAGCUGUAAACUUAGGUGAACCCUUUACCCCCCCCCACCCGCCAGAGAACUACGAGUGAAAAACUUGAAACUCCAAGGACUUGACGGUGCCCCAUAACCCCCUAGAGGAGCCUGUCCUACAAUCGAUGCUCCACGCUAAACCUCUCCCCCCUUAGUCAAAAUCAGCCUAUAUACCGCCGUCGCCAGCCUACCUAGUGAUAGUCGCACAGCAGGCAAAAUAGUACCCCCACUAACACGUCAGGUCAAGGUGUAGCUCAUGGGGCGGCAAGAGAUGGGCUACAUUUUCUAACCACUAGAAAAUCCACCGUAGACUAUAUGAAACUUCUAGCCGACCGGCGGAUUUAGCAGUAAAUAACGACAAGCUAUGUCUAAUUGAAGUCGGCCCUGAGGNGCGCACACACCGCCCGUCACCCUCCUCAAAAACCCCUCAUAAAAUAACUAAACCACACACUAACUGCAAGACGAGGCAAGUCGUAACAUGGUAAGCCUACCGGAAGGNGGGCUUGGCACACA